AGAGUUUGAUCCUGGCUCAGGAUUAACGCUGGCGGCGUGCCUAACACAUGCAAGUCGAACGCGGUAGCAAUACCGAGUGGCAGACGGGUGAGUAACACGUGGUCAACCUACCCUUGAGUGGGGGAUAACUAGCCGAAAGGUUAGCUAAUACCGCAUACGUCGCCCUGGGGCAUCCUGGGGUGAUAAAAGGAGCGAUCCGC
RNAcentral lists this ribosomal RNA (200 nucleotides) under uncultured bacterium. RNAcentral's name for it is "partial 16S ribosomal RNA". It matches the Rfam family "Bacterial small subunit ribosomal RNA", at positions 8 to 218 of the family's 1533-position model. The record is from RNAcentral.